GAUUCUCCUCGGGGCUCCUUCCUCUCCGCUCCCUUCCCAACCAAGAAGGACACGCAGAACUUUGCUGGAGAGAUCAAUGUUUCUAGAACACCCUGAAACAAAAGUCCUGAUAUGUGCAAAUAAUACACACCCACAAAAGAAAAUAACCUCUUUGCGCUGACACCCUGCCUCUCCGAAGAGGACGUUUUCUCCCUACUUGGAAUUUCCAUCAGCACCUGGGUUGGUACCAAACUCAGGACGUGGUGGACACGCUCUCUGACUCUGUAUUUCAGGAAGCUGCCAAUCAAUAGAGAUUUAAAGCUUCUGACUUCCGCAUAUCCGAAUACCAGGUAGGAAACAUCUGCUUUGGAGUAAGAGAAGGCCCCAGUACCUGCUUUUUCUCCGGAACCGUGAGAGGGAGCCAUGGGGAGGAGACCAGAAUUU
Homo sapiens (human) is the source of this 423-nucleotide long non-coding RNA. Ensembl annotates it as EYA2 antisense RNA 1. Its record names the gene EYA2-AS1. Lineage: Eukaryota; Metazoa; Chordata; Mammalia; Primates; Hominidae. The record is from Ensembl.